This 300-nucleotide ribosomal RNA is filed under the name Triticum aestivum (bread wheat). Its description in RNAcentral is "partial small subunit ribosomal RNA". The record is from RNAcentral. Lineage: Eukaryota; Viridiplantae; Streptophyta; Magnoliopsida; Poales; Poaceae.
AUGAAGAGUAAGAUCUACUGUCUUUCUCUGUUUACAAACGUAUCUGUACGGAUUCAAAGAUAUGGUUAUACAGAGAUAUUUCUAGGUGCGAAAAUAAAGUUUGCUUUGGCUUAUUGUUUUAAUUCCCAGGUUUUAGUGUUUCGUUUUUGGCAUGUUCCAGUUAUAUGUUCAAUUUUUCAUGAUUUCUAUGCACGUCUCUCUGAUAUGGCCUUGAGUAUGUAUUGCAUCAUCAUAUUAGUUAUUAGACUAGAGUUAUCUUUUUUCAAGUGGUUCUGCAAUAAUGCAGUCUUCCUAUUGUAA